UGAAGAGUUUGAUCAUGGCUCAGAUUGAACGCUGGCGGCAGGCCUAACACAUGCAAGUCGAACGGUAACAGGAAAGAGCUUGCUUUUUUGCUGACGAGUGGCGCACGGGUGCGUAACGCGUAUACAAUCUACCUUUUACAGGGGGAUAGCCUUUAGAAAUGAAGAAUAAUACCCCAUAGUAAGUCAUUAUGGCAUCAUAGUGAUUUUAAAGUUUCGGCGGUAAAAGAUGAGUAUGCGUUCUAUUAGCUAGAUGGUGUGGUAACGGCACACCAUGGCGACGAUAGAUAGGGGCCCUGAGAGGGGGAUCCCCCACACUGGUACUGAGACACGGACCAGACUCCUACGGGAGGCAGCAGUGAGGAAUAUUGGACAAUGGGCGAAAGCCUGAUCCAGCCAUGCCGCGUGCAGGAAGACUGCCCUAUGGGUUGUAAACUGCUUUUAUAUAGGAAGAAACCUAUCCACGUGUGGAUAGCUGACGGUACUAUAAGAAUAAGGAUCGGCUAACUCCGUGCCAGCAGCCGCGGUAAUACGGAGGAUCCAAGCGUUAUCCGGAAUCAUUGGGUUUAAAGGGUCCGUAGGUGGAUAAUUAAGUCAGAGGUGAAAUCCUGCAGCUCAACUGUAGAAUUGCCUUUGAUACUGGUUAUCUUGAAUUAUUGUGAAGUGGUUAGAAUAUGUAGUGUAGCGGUGAAAUGCAUAGAUAUUACAUAGAAUACCAAUUGCGAAGGCAGAUCACUAACAAUAUAUUGACACUGAUGGACGAAAGCGUGGGGAGCGAACAGGAUUAGAUACCCUGGUAGUCCACGCCGUAAACGAUGGUCACUAGCUGUUCGAACUUCGGUUUGAGUGGCUAAGAGAAAUUGAUAAGUGACCCACCUGGGGAGUACGUUCGCAAGAAUGAAACUCAAAGGAAUUGACGGGGGCCCGCACAAGCGGUGGAGCAUGUGGUUUAAUUCGAUG
This 957-nucleotide ribosomal RNA is filed under the name Emiliania huxleyi. RNAcentral describes it as "partial Bacterial small subunit ribosomal RNA". It matches the Rfam family "Bacterial small subunit ribosomal RNA", at positions 1 to 956 of the family's 1533-position model. The record is from RNAcentral. Lineage: Eukaryota; Haptophyta; Isochrysidales; Noelaerhabdaceae.